GCUAAUACAUGCAAGUCGAACGCUUCUUUUUCCACCGGGAGCUUGCUCCACCGGGAAAAAGAGGAGUGGCGAACGGGUGAGUAACACGUGGGUAACCUGCCCAUCAGAAGGGGAUAACACUUGGAAACAGGUGCUAAUACCGUAUAACAAUCGAAACCGCAUGGUUUUGAUUUGAAAGGCGCUUUCGGGUGUCGCUGAUGGAUGGACCCGCGGUGCAUUAGCUAGUUGGUGAGGUAACGGCUCACCAAGGCGACGAUGCAUAGCCGACCUGAGAGGGUGAUCGGCCACAUUGGGACUGAGACACGGCCCAAACUCCUACGGGAGGCAGCAGUAGGGAAUCUUCGGCAAUGGACGAAAGUCUGACCGAGCAACGCCGCGUGAGUGAAGAAGGUUUUCGGAUCGUAAAACUCUGUUGUUAGAGAAGAACAAGGAUGAGAGUAACUGUUCAUCCCUUGACGGUAUCUAACCAGAAAGCCACGGCUAACUACGUGCCAGCAGCCGCGGUAAUACGUAGGUGGCAAGCGUUGUCCGGAUUUAUUGGGCGUAAAGCGAGCGCAGGCGGUUUCUUAAGUCUGAUGUGAAAGCCCCCGGCUCAACCGGGGAGGGUCAUUGGAAACUGGGAGACUUGAGUGCAAAAGAGGAGAGUGGAAUUCCAUGUGUAGCGGUGAAAUGCGUAGAUAUAUGGAGGAACACCAGUGGCGAAGGCGGCUCUCUGGUCUGUAACUGACGCUGAGGCUCGAAAGCGUGGGGAGCAAACAGGAUUAGAUACCCUGGUAGUCCACGCCGUAAACGAUGAGUGCUAAGUGUUGGAGGGUUUCCGCCCUUCAGUGCUGCAGCUAACGCAUUAAGCACUCCGCCUGGGGAGUACGACCGCAAGGUUGAAACUCAAAAGGAAUUGACGGGGGCCCGCACAAGCGGUGGAGCAUGUGGGUUUAAUUCGAAAGCAACCGCGAAGAACCUUACCAGGGUCUUGACAUCCUUUGACCACUCUAGAGAUAGGAGCUUCCCCUUCGGGGGCAAAAGUGACAGGGUGG
This 1034-nucleotide ribosomal RNA is filed under the name Enterococcus hirae. RNAcentral's name for it is "bacterial SSU rRNA". It matches the Rfam family "Bacterial small subunit ribosomal RNA", at positions 46 to 1041 of the family's 1533-position model. Lineage: Bacteria; Bacillati; Bacillota; Bacilli; Lactobacillales; Enterococcaceae. The record is from RNAcentral.